UACGUAGGGGGCUAGCGUUGUCCGGAAUCAUUGGGCGUAAAGCGCGUGUAGGCGGUCCGGUAAGUCCGCUGUGAAAGUCGGGGGCUCAACCCUCGGAUGCCGGUGGAUACUGUCGGGCUUGAGUACGGAAGAGGCGAGUGGAAUUCCUGGUGUAGCGGUGAAAUGCGCAGAUAUCAGGAGGAACACCAAUUGCGAAGGCAGCUCGCUGGGACGUUACUGACGCUGAGACGCGAAGCGUGGGAGCAAACAGG
Molecule: ribosomal RNA, 251 nt
Filed under: uncultured bacterium
Lineage: Bacteria
Description: partial 16S ribosomal RNA
Rfam family: Bacterial small subunit ribosomal RNA
Source: RNAcentral